Non-coding RNA from Xyrichtys novacula (pearly razorfish), 760 nucleotides. Lineage: Eukaryota; Metazoa; Chordata; Actinopteri; Labriformes; Labridae. The record is from the annotation of a GenBank genome assembly.
UGCGAUUGAGCCAUUGAGCGACGGGCAGGGUUAACUUGACUUUUUCUCCUGCCUUGGGGGGGGGGGGGGGGGGGGGAUGUGGAUUCUUUUAAGAAUGUGGAUAUUUGGGUCAUCUUUGGCGCCCCCUAGAACCUAAACCGUGGGGUGCAGCGUCAUGAUUUGUACAACUUUUAAUGGCCAUGGGGUGUAGAUUGGCCUGAGCAAAUGUGGUGCCGGUGGAAUGAAUGCCUUCGGAGGAGUUAGCGAAAUUCCAAUGUGUGCAGAUCUGCAAAAAAUGCGAAAUAACCCUCUAACCGUACAUUUCACAGAUGCGCCCGCGCUGACUUUUUUGUAGACCGUAUUAAGAUACACAUGUGUGUCAAUUUUUGUGUCAUUUUGACAAAGCGUAUAGGCGUGACAGUCAACAAUGUGUUUUUUCACCUUAGGGGACAAGAAAAAAUUGACUUUUUUCUCCUGCCAUGGGGGGGCGCUCUUUUCGGGAGUAAAAAUUCCUUUACAAAUGUGUUGAUGGCUGGACAUUGCAUCAUCCUAGAAAACUUGGAGGCCAGUGAGGACAAAAAUAAAAAGUUAUAAGACUAUUAAGAAUGUGGAUUUUUGGGUUAUCUUUGGCGCCCCCUAGAACCUAAACCGUGGGGUGCAGCGUCAUGAUUUGAAUAACUUUAAAUGGCCAUGGGGUGUAGAUUGGCCUGAGCAAAUGUGGUGCCGGUGGAACGAAAGCCUUAGGAGGAGUUAGCCACAUUCCAAUGUGUGCGGAUCGGCA